UACGUAGGGGGCUAGCGUUAUCCGGAAUUACUGGGCGUAAAGGGUGCGUAGGUGGUUUCUUAAGUCAGAGGUGAAAGGCUACGGCUCAACCGUAGUAAGCCUUUGAAACUGAGAAACUUGAGUGCAGGAGAGGAGAGUGGAACUCCAUGUGUAGCGGUGAAAUGCGUAGAUAUAUGGAAGAACACCAGUGGCGAAAGCGGCUCUCUGGUCUGUAACUGACGCUGAGGCACGAAAGCAUGGGGAUCAAACAGG
This 252-nucleotide ribosomal RNA is filed under the name uncultured bacterium. Its description in RNAcentral is "partial 16S ribosomal RNA". It matches the Rfam family "Bacterial small subunit ribosomal RNA", at positions 524 to 776 of the family's 1533-position model. The record is from RNAcentral.